Molecule: long non-coding RNA, 467 nt
Filed under: Homo sapiens (human)
Lineage: Eukaryota; Metazoa; Chordata; Mammalia; Primates; Hominidae
Description: HSALNT0321655
Source: RNAcentral
GUAUUUUUAAAUUCUCUGUUUUAGAGCAAUUUUGCAGAAUAUAACUGUUAACCAGCCUCAAAGAUGGCCCCCAACAAUCCCUAUCUCCUAGAAUUCACGUCAUUUCAUAGUCUUCUCCUGCCCUGUACCAGGGCUAAUUUACUGUGUGAGUAAUAGAAUAUGACAGCAGUGAUGAUAUGCCAUUUCUGAGAUUAAGUUAUAAAAGUCUUUGUGUCUUCUGUCUUGUUUGUUCUUUUGUAUCAUUUGCAAUGGGGAAGCUAACGUUACGUUUUAAGCACCACCUUGGAGAAGUCCAUGUGGUAAGGAACUGAGGCCUCCAGCCAACAGCCACAUGAGUGAUCUGGGAAACAGUUCCUCUACCUCAGUCAAGCCUUCAGAUGACUGCAGUCCCAAUAACAUUUUUACUGCAACUUCAUGACCCUGAGCUGCAGAUUAGCCACUCCCAGAUCUCUGAUCCUCAGGACUCU